CACACAAAUCAUAUCAGGAAUGAAAUAGUCUUUGGUUAAAUAGAUCUAGUUUUGAAAACAGAUUUUACAUUUUACAUGCAUUACAUGGCACAAAUAAUCACAUCAUUACAAUUCAAAUUGUACAAUAAUUGACUUUCUGUUAUAGCAAUCAAAUAAGCAUCAAUAAAUUAUCCUAGAGAGGUUUUAUUUUCAGAACAGUAUUUGAUAGUUCAAUUAUUUAAAUAAAUACAGACUUUUUGGAAAAAUUGUAGAAAUACCUUUUUUUUUUUUUAAGAGACAAAGUCUCACUCUAUCACUCAAGUGUGGUGGCAUGAUCACAGCUCAGGAGGUCAAACUCCUGGCCUCAAAGCAAUCCUCCCACCUCAGCCUCUUGAGUAGCUAGAACUACAGGUGUGCACCACCAUGCUGGGCUUUUUUUUUUUUUUUUUUAAUAAAUAUUUUUUGUAGAGAUGAGGUCUCACUAUGUUGCCCAGGCUGCUCUUGAACUCCUGACCUCAAGUGAUCCUCCUGCCUUGGCCUCCCAAAGUGUUUGGAUUACAGGCAUGAGCUACCUUGCUCAGCCUAGAAAUACUUUUCAACCAAAAAGCGACUCUCUUAUAAACAGCUAAUAUAUACAAGGCAUAUUGAAAUAAGUAACAUCAGAAUUAUACUCUAUGUCAAAAUCAUGGAUAUAUAUAGUCACUGUAAAUAAAAACAUGGUGGUCUGGAUAGACUUUAAUUAGCUUAUUCACUAAAACAGAAUUAUUUCCCACAAUAUUUAGGGGAAGAUUACUGGAAAUAUAGUUCUUCUCUAUAAAAUCAGUGGAGAAUCAUUAUAUACACACUUGGAUACUUAUAUACACCUAUAGCUUACUCAACGUGUUUAUAUCAGAAAUUCGAAGAUGUCCUCUCCUCCUAAGUGACCCACUUAAAAUCUAUACAGCAGAUUUGUUGAAUUCUUGUUAAUUUGUAUUUAACAUUAAAUUGAACAUAUUUAGGAAAAUUUUAAAGAAUUUUACACCUCUUCUGCAAAUGGAUAUAUUAACGGUUAACAAAUGAAAUGCUGUCUCUUUGUACUAGGUUUUGGCUUAUAGCUCAGUUCCUCAUUUUAUUAGGGACUAAUAAGAGAGAGAGUAUAAAUGCUUUAUUAAGCUAAGCCCUAAAUCUUGUUUAUGUUAAGCUUUUUACUCAGAGAUAAUUGUAGAUUCUGAGAUAGUUGUAGAUAACUGUAGAUUCACAUGCAGUUGUAAGAAAUAAUACAGAGAUCCUGUGUUCUUUUUACCCAGUUUUCCCCAAUGGCACAUCUUGCUAAACUACAGUACAAUAUCCCAACCAGGAUUUUCACAUUGAUUUGGUCAAGAUACUGAAUAUGUCCAUCACCACAAGGAUCUCUUGUGCUAUCCUUUUAUAGUUAUGCCCAACUCUCUUGUUCUCCCCACUCCUCCCUGGCAACCCCUAAUCUAUUCUCCAUUCCUAUAAUUUUGCAUUUCAAAAUGUUAUGUAAAUGGAAUCAUACAGUGUGCAAACUUUUAUGAUUGGCUUUGCUCACUCAGCACAAUUCUCUGGAAUUCAUCCCAGUGGUUGCCCAUGUCAGUAAUUAGUUCUUUUUUAUCGCUGAGUAGUAUUCCGGGCAUAGAGGCACCAUCCACUGUUUCACCAGCCACCCGUUAAAGGCCAUCUGAUUUCUCCAAGUUUUUGAACAUUAUGGAUAAAACUGAUAUGAACAUUCAUGCACAAGUUUUUGUGUGAACCUCUUUUCAUUUCUCUUGUAUAAAUGCCCAGGAGCAAUUGAGGGUCAGUAUGGCAGUUGUAUGUUUAGUUUUAUGAGAAACUGGCAAAUGGUUUUGCGGAGUGGCUGUUCCAUUUUCUAUUCCCACCACUAGUGUAUGACUGACCCGGUUUAUCUGCAUCCUUGUCAGCGUUUGGUGUUAUCAUUAUUUUUUAUUUUAGCAAUUUUGGUAGCUAUGUAGUGAUAUCUCAUUGUAGUAUUAGUUUGCAGUUCCCCUAGUGACUAGUGCUGUUGACUGUCUUUUCAUGUCUUUUCAUGCGCUUAUUUGCCAUUUUUAUAUCCUCUGCAGUGAAAUGUCUGUUCAUGUGCUCCAUUUUCUAAUUAGAAUUUUUUAGCUGUUGAGUUUUGACAGUUCUUUAUAUAUUCUAGAUACUAAUCUUUUGUUGGAUAUGUGGUUUGGAAAUAUUUUCUCCCAGUAUGUGGCCUGUCUUCUCGGCCUUUUAACAUGGUCUUUUGCAGAACAAAUGUUUUAAAUUCUGAUGAAGUUUAAUUUAUCAAAUUUUCUUUUAUGAAUUGUGCUUUUGGUAUCAAGUCUAACAACCCUUUGCUUAGCCCUAGUUCCAAAAGAUUUUCUAUAUCCUAUAGUUUUAUAGUUUUACAUUUUAUUUUUACAGAUAUGAUCUGAGUUAAUUUUUGCAUAAGGUAUGAAGUUUAGUCCAAGGUUCAUUUUAUUUUCCUAUGGAUGUCCACUUACUCCACACUUAUUGAAAAGGCUAUCCUCUGUUGAAUUAGUUUUGUACUUUUGUAAAAGAAAAUCAGUUGAGCAUAUUUGUGUGGGCCUAUUUCUAGAUUCCCUAUUCUGUUCCAUCAAUGUGUUUCUAUGCCUCCACCAAAUACCACACUUCUUGAAUACUGUAGCUACAUCAUAACUCUAUAUUAAAUAGAAUGAUUUCUCCUACCUUAUUCUGCUUUUACAAGACUGUUUUAGCUAUUUCAAUGCCUGUGCCUUUCCAUGUAACUUUUAAAAUAAGCUUGUAUAGGUCUACAAAAUCCUUGUUGAGAUUUUGAUAGGAAUUGCAUUAAACCUAGAGAUGGAGAUGGGGAGAACUGAUAUCUUUACUGUUUGUAUCUUCCAAUCCAAGAACAUGGUAUCUCUCUUUCUUUGUUUAGGUCAUUAAUUUCUUUUCUUAGCAUUUAAAAAUUUUCACUACAUAGGUCCUGGGUAAGUUUUGUUUAUACGGAAGUAUUUCACUUUGGAGUGAUUGCAAAUGGUAUUGUGUUUUUAGUUUUUUUCCCCACAUGUUCAUCGUUAGCAUAGAGAAAUGCAAUUGACUUUUGUAUGCUGAUCUUGUGUCCUGAGACCUUGUUGCACUCACAUACUAGUUCCAGAGUUUUUUUUUAAAAAAAAUAGAUUAUUUGGAAUUUCUAUGUAGGCAAUCCUCUCAUCUCUAAAUAGGGGUACUUUUUUUUUCUUUCGAUCUGUAUGCAUUUAAUCUCUUUUUCU
This 3212-nucleotide long non-coding RNA is filed under the name Homo sapiens (human). RNAcentral's name for it is "HSALNT0036559". Lineage: Eukaryota; Metazoa; Chordata; Mammalia; Primates; Hominidae. The record is from RNAcentral.